GAUGAAGAACGUAGCGAAAUGCGAUACUUGGUGUGAAUUGCAGAAUCCCGUGAACCAUCGAGUCUUUGAACGCAAGUUGCGCCCGAAGCCAUUAGGCCGAGGGCACGCCUGCCUGGGCGUCACACGUCGUUGCCCCCCCAUCUACUCCUUCGGGAUUGCGGGGGGCGGAUGAUGGCCUCUCGUGCGCCUCGUCGCGCGGUUGGCCUAAAUGCCAAGUCCUCGGCGACGCACGCCACGACAAUCGGUGGUUGCGAAACCUCGGUUGCCUGUCGUGUGCGGCCGUCGCGCAUCGAGGGCUCGAAAAAAUUGCCGGGCUUCGGCUCGACUUUCAACGCGACCCCAGGUCAGGCGGGGUUACCCGCUGAAUUUAAGCAUAUCAAUAAGCGGAGGA
This 391-nucleotide unclassified non-coding RNA is filed under the name soil metagenome. RNAcentral's name for it is "partial contains 5.8S ribosomal RNA, internal transcribed spacer 2, and large subunit ribosomal RNA". The stretch from base 1 to 122 matches the Rfam family "5.8S ribosomal RNA", at positions 35 to 154 of the family's 154-position model. The record is from RNAcentral.